GCCCGUUGUAUUUAUUGAUUUCCUUGUUUCAAAUUUUCACUACAUUUGAUGUCGCUGUUAAAGUGCAUUUUGUUAUACAUGGAAUUAUCAUUAUUUGGUCUCUAACUACACACCUUCACCAAUUUACAAGCAAUUGAAUAAAUGACCAACUAGUAACUAAAAGGUAAUGAAAUGGACAAGAAAAUGUAAAGGAGACUGCCUAAAUUAAAUGUGAAGGGCCAUCAUCAGGGAUCUGCAUCACCCGCAACAUUGUCAUCACUUGAUAUUC
This 268-nucleotide unclassified non-coding RNA is filed under the name Hevea brasiliensis (rubber tree). Lineage: Eukaryota; Viridiplantae; Streptophyta; Magnoliopsida; Malpighiales; Euphorbiaceae. The record is from RNAcentral.